RNAcentral lists this ribosomal RNA (468 nucleotides) under uncultured bacterium. Its description in RNAcentral is "partial 16S ribosomal RNA". It matches the Rfam family "Bacterial small subunit ribosomal RNA", at positions 28 to 507 of the family's 1533-position model. The record is from RNAcentral.
GACGAACGCUGGCGGCGUGCUUAACACAUGCAAGUCGAACGGAAAGGCCCUGCUUUUGUGGGGUGCUCGAGUGGCGAACGGGUGAGUAACACGUGAGUAACCUGCCCUUGACUUUGGGAUAACUUCAGGAAACUGGGGCUAAUACCGGCUAGGAGCUCCUGCUGCAUGGGGGGGGUUGGAAAGUUUCGGCGGUUGGGGAUGGACUCGCGGCUUAUCAGCUUGUUGGUGGGGUAGUGGCUUACCAAGGCUUUGACGGGUAGCCGGCCUGAGAGGGUGACCGGCCACAUUGGGACUGAGAUACGGCCCAGACUCCUACGGGAGGCAGCAGUGGGGAAUAUUGCACAAUGGGCGGAAGCCUGAUGCAGCAACGCCGCGUGCGGGAUGACGGCCUUCGGGUUGUAAACCGCUUUCGCCUGUGACGAAGCGUGAGUGACGGUAAUGGGUAAAGAAGCACCGGCUAACUACGUG